This 1257-nucleotide unclassified non-coding RNA is filed under the name Hevea brasiliensis (rubber tree). The record is from RNAcentral. Lineage: Eukaryota; Viridiplantae; Streptophyta; Magnoliopsida; Malpighiales; Euphorbiaceae.
GAACAACCAUUGUCACACUCCACUCAUAAUACACUGUGUUGUCUUAUUCCCCCUAUUGAAAAUUUGAAACUUUGUCUAAUACCACGGAUUGAUCCAAGCUACGCAGCUCAGUGACGCAAUCAGAUCAGAGACGGAGCAAGCACCUCAAGGAUUUGCCUUUCUUCAGUAGUUCAAAGGCCUCAUUUAUCUUAUCAAAUGGUAGCUCGUGCGUUAUGAAUCCACUCAGAUUGAUUUUGUUUUCCUCUUUCAUGCACUUCUCCACGAGUCCCGGCAGCUGUGACUUCCCCUUAAAUCCUCCAAAAACACAUCCGACGAUAUUCCUCCCAUGGAGCUCCAUUGGAUGCAAAGGAAGCAACCUUGGAGUCGGAUGGAUCCCCAGAACCACAGUCAGACCUCCACCAUCAUGAGUUGACAUGAAAGCCUCUCUGAGGACAUCCAAGUUCCCAGCACACUCAAAACUGUAGUCGACACCCCCUUUGCUCAUCUCGCGGAUCACCUCAUGUAAUGGCUUUGUAUAUUUGGAAGGGUCGAUAAAGUUGGUAACGCCCAUCUCCCUCCCUUUUUCUGCCUUCUCAGAAUUGAUGUCAACCCCAAUAAUUUGUGAAGCCCCUCGGAAUCGUGCUCCUUCAGCAACCGCGAGGCCAACCGCGCCCAGACCGAAGAUUGCCACAGUCGAACCCUCCUCCACGUUUGCAGUGUUCCACGCAGCUCCCACCCCUGUCGAGACACAACAGCUGAGAAGGCCCAUGUGCUCCAACGGUGCCUUUUCAUCAAUCUUCACAACACAGGCCGAGUCCAACACUGUAUACUCAGCGAAAGUCGAUGUAUUCAGAAAAUGGUACACCGGCCGACGUUCACCAUCAGCUCCGACCACCGAGAACCGCGGCCGACCGUCGGUCAUGACGCUCUUGAACGGGUUGACUCGGAAACUAUGACAGAGGUUUGUUUUAUCAGACUUGCAGCAUCGGCAUUCUCCGCACUCGCCAGUAAAGAUAGGGAUCACAUGAUCGCCAACUUUCAUAUCGGUCACCCCGUCACCGACACUCUCCACAAGACCGCUGGCUUCGUGGCCUAAAAUUCGCGGGUACACCCUUUGCGCCUCAUUCUCGCCCUUCCAAGCACUGAGAUCUGUAUGGCAGAUCGAGGUAAACAAGAUCCUGAUCCGGACCUCCAUCCUCUGCGGCGGCUCCACCUGCACCUCCUCCAUCACGAAUGGCUCCUCUGGCCCCCAUACCACCGCAGCUUUGCAGGUGAUGA